RNAcentral lists this ribosomal RNA (420 nucleotides) under uncultured bacterium. RNAcentral's name for it is "bacterial SSU rRNA". It matches the Rfam family "Bacterial small subunit ribosomal RNA", at positions 356 to 773 of the family's 1533-position model. The record is from RNAcentral.
GAGGAAUAUUGGACAAUGGGUGGAAGCCUGAUCCAGCCAUCCCGCGUGUAGGAUGACGGCCUUAUGGGUUGUAAACUACUUUUAUCUGGGGAUAAACCUACUUACGUGUAAGUAGCUGAAGGUACCAGAAGAAUAAGCACCGGCUAACUCCGUGCCAGCAGCCGCGGUAAUACGGAGGGUGCAAGCGUUAUCCGGAUUUAUUGGGUUUAAAGGGUCCGUAGGCGGAUUAAUCAGUCAGUGGUGAAAUCUCAUAGCUUAACUAUGAAACUGCCAUUGAUACUGUUAGUCUUGAGUGAUGUUGAAGUUGCUGGAAUGUGUAGUGUAGCGGUGAAAUGCUUAGAUAUUACGCAGAACACCAAUUGCGAAGGCAGGUGACUAAACAUAAACUGACGCUGAUGGACGAAAGCGUGGGGAGCGAAC